Molecule: long non-coding RNA, 294 nt
Organism: Pan troglodytes (chimpanzee)
Lineage: Eukaryota; Metazoa; Chordata; Mammalia; Primates; Hominidae
Exons: 3
Source: RefSeq, a predicted model, not a curated record
GUGACCGUCAUUCCACGGGAUCCGCUUCCUGGUCUGCGCGAAUCUGCGCGCGCAGGACAGAAACCAGGCCUGGGUGGAGCCAACGAGGAGCUAUCCUUAGGCGGUCCCGGUGGCUCACUCCUGCAAUACUAGCAAUUUGAAAGGCUGUACCAGGGGGAUCACCUGAGGACAUGGCAGGAAGAUGGCUGGGCUAAACCAUGAAGAAGCCUCUCACCAGGAAUCAAUUUGGCUGGCACCUUGCUCUUGGAUUUCCCACUUUCCAAAUUCAUGAGAAAUAAAUUUCUGUGUCUUAAG